CUUCGAUUCAGAUGUAAAACUGUGCAACAACAACUCACCACAGACUGUUUUAAGAAACAUUAAUAUUGAAGUACAUUUAGCAGCUAAUGAACUGGAAGUCUCGCCUACAUUCUUACUAACCCUUUGAAGAAUAAGAGAAAAAAAAAGUCUAAAUGGGACCACCAUCAGUCUGGAGAAACCUCUCAUUUAGUACACAUAUAAAUGUCUGUAAGCCUGAAAAGAGCGGCAGGCCAUUAGUCUGCACUGUGUUGAUUGUAUGACUCACCUU
Molecule: long non-coding RNA, 268 nt
Organism: Labeo rohita (rohu)
Lineage: Eukaryota; Metazoa; Chordata; Actinopteri; Cypriniformes; Cyprinidae
Exons: 3
Source: RefSeq, a predicted model, not a curated record